UACGGGGAGUGCAAGCGUUGUUCGGAAUCAUUGGGCGUAAAGCGCACGUAGGCGGCCCAGUAAGUCUGGAGUGAAAGCCCUCGGCCCAACCGAGGAAGUGCUUUGGAAACUGCUGGGCUUGAGUCCUGGAGGGGCAGGUGGAAUUCCCAGUGUAGAGGUGAAAUUCGUAGAUAUUGGGAGGAACACCGGUGGCGAAGGCGGCCUGCUGGACAGUGACUGACGCUGAGGUGCGAAAGCGUGGGGAGCAAACAGG
RNAcentral lists this unclassified non-coding RNA (253 nucleotides) under uncultured delta proteobacterium. RNAcentral describes it as "contains 16S-23S intergenic spacer region". It matches the Rfam family "Bacterial small subunit ribosomal RNA", at positions 524 to 776 of the family's 1533-position model. The record is from RNAcentral. Lineage: Bacteria; Deltaproteobacteria.